RNAcentral lists this ribosomal RNA (244 nucleotides) under uncultured Methanomassiliicoccus sp. Its description in RNAcentral is "partial 16S ribosomal RNA". It matches the Rfam family "Archaeal small subunit ribosomal RNA", at positions 747 to 990 of the family's 1478-position model. Lineage: Archaea; Methanobacteriati; Thermoplasmatota; Thermoplasmata; Methanomassiliicoccales; Methanomassiliicoccaceae. The record is from RNAcentral.
CAGGGUGUAAACGCUGCAGACUUGGUGUUGGGAACCCUUCGGGGGUGCUCAGUGCCGGAGAGAAGUUGUUAAGUCUGCUACUUGGGGAGUACGUCCGCAAGGAUGAAACUUAAAGGAAUUGGCGGGGGAGCACCGCAACGGGAGGAGCGUGCGGUUUAAUUGGAUUCAACGCCGAAAAACUCACCAGCAGCGACUGUUACAUGAAAGUCAGGUUGAUGACCUUACUAGAUUUUCAGAGAGGUGG